AUUGAACGCUGGCGGCAGGCUUAACACAUGCAAGUCGAGCGGGGGAAGGUAGCUUGCUACCGGACCUAGCGGCGGACGGGUGAGUAACGCUUAGGAAUCUGCCUAUUAGUGGGGGACAACAUCUCGAAAGGGAUGCUAAUACCGCAUACGUCCUACGGGAGAAAGCAGGGGAUCUUCGGACCUUGCGCUAAUAGAUGAGCCUAAGUCGGAUUAGCUAGUUGGUGGGUAAAGGCCUACCAAGGCGACGAUCUGUAGCGGGUCUGAGAGGAUGAGCCGCCACACUGGGACUGAGACACGGCCCAGACUCCUACGGGAGGCAGCAGUGGGGAAUAUUGGACAAUGGGGGGAACCCUGAUCUAGCCAUGCCGCGUGUGUGAAGAAGGCCUUAUGGUUGUAAAGCACUUUAAGCGAGGAGGAGGCUACUUUAGUUAAUACCUAGAGAUAGUGGACGUUACUCGCAGAAUAAGCACCGGCUAACUCUGUGCCAGCCGCCGCCGUAA
This 500-nucleotide ribosomal RNA is filed under the name uncultured bacterium. RNAcentral describes it as "partial 16S ribosomal RNA". It matches the Rfam family "Bacterial small subunit ribosomal RNA", at positions 30 to 523 of the family's 1533-position model. The record is from RNAcentral.